This 122-nucleotide ribosomal RNA is filed under the name Lutjanus viridis (blue and gold snapper). RNAcentral's name for it is "partial 16S ribosomal RNA". Lineage: Eukaryota; Metazoa; Chordata; Actinopteri; Lutjaniformes; Lutjanidae. The record is from RNAcentral.
AGAUCAACAACCCCACAUAAAUACCCCCUAACACCCUUAACCCACCCUAAACAAAUCAUUUUUCCCCCUUAGUACAGGCGAUAGAAAAGGAACUGAGGAGCAACAGAAAAAGUACCGCAAGG